Molecule: ribosomal RNA, 423 nt
Filed under: Triticum aestivum (bread wheat)
Lineage: Eukaryota; Viridiplantae; Streptophyta; Magnoliopsida; Poales; Poaceae
Description: partial small subunit ribosomal RNA
Source: RNAcentral
AUGAAGGUGAGUAACACCUUAUUAAAAAUGUACCUUACAGAAAAGGAUUUUGGUUGCAAGAAGAAUGACAAGGAUAACGUGGGUAUUGCAGGGGCCACAAGCGAGGUGGCGACCCUGAAGGAGGCGGUGUCCGCGGCCGAACGUAAUGCAGCCGUGGAACACACCGAGCGAGAGAGGCAGGAGGCGCGGGUGGCGGAGGUACGGCAAGAGCUCCAGGCUCUCGUGGAAAAACACGAGAGUUUGGAGCGUGACUCGAAGACUCGAGAGUCUGAGCUUGCAACGGCUCUUGAGGGUGCCAAAGCCGCUAAGGCAGAAGCCUAUAAGGCCCUCCAGGAAGUCGAGGCGUUGAAGAAAAUAGCGGCGGGUAAGGCAUUUUUCAUGGAAAGUAAGCAUGUGAGUGUGAAUUACCUAUCGCUUACCUGA